GAUGAACGCUGGCGGCGUGCCUAAUACAUGCAAGUCGAGCGAACAGACGAGGAGCUUGCUCCUCUGACGUUAGCGGCGGACGGGUGAGUAACACGUGGAUAACCUACCUAUAAGACUAGGAUAACUUCGGGAAACCGGAGCUAAUACCGGAUAAUAUAUUGAACCGCAUGGUUCAAUAGUGAAAGACGGUUUUGCUGUCACUUAUAGAUGGAUCCGCGCCGCAUUAGCUAGUUGGUAAGGUAACGGCUUACCAAGGCGACGAUGCGUAGCCGACCUGAGAGGGUGAUCGGUCACACUGGAACUGAGACACGGUCCAGACUCCUACGGGAGGCAGCAGUAGGGAAUCUUCCGCAAUGGGCGAAAGCCUGACGGAGCAACGCCGCGUGAGUGAUGAAGGUCUUCGGAUCGUAAAACUCUGUUAUUAGGGAAGAACAAAUGUGUAAGUAACUAUGCACGUCUUGACGGUACCUAAUCAGAAAGCCACGGCUAACUACGUG
Molecule: ribosomal RNA, 497 nt
Filed under: uncultured bacterium
Lineage: Bacteria
Description: partial 16S ribosomal RNA
Rfam family: Bacterial small subunit ribosomal RNA
Source: RNAcentral